This is a non-coding RNA of Schizosaccharomyces pombe (fission yeast), 381 nucleotides long. The record is from the annotation of a GenBank genome assembly. NCBI's taxonomy places the organism in Eukaryota, Fungi, Ascomycota, Schizosaccharomycetes, Schizosaccharomycetales, Schizosaccharomycetaceae.
GAGUAACUAUUUUGUUUUCACGAGGAUGUAAGGAUUUAACAAAUUCAGGAUGGAGUUUAAAUUUGUCAGCAGGAACCAGGCUAGCCAAUUCUCGUCUGGUCUUAGCAACAGAACUCAAUCCAGCACCAGUCAAAGUCCAACCAGGUUGGUAAUAAUGAUACUUGGCACCAUCCACAAUACCAAUUUCACCGGGUUUGAGGGAUGUAUCUUUGCCUUGGUCAUUGGCAAAGCGGUAUUUAGAAAACUUGUUGUAAAUUUGAUGGGCGACGGAUAUACCAGCGGAUCCACCACCAACUACUAAAACCUUGUGAUGGGUAGAGGCGAAUCGAGCCAACAUGGAAGCGGACUGAAAUGAGCCGGUGACCGACUUGAUUGUUGAGU